Molecule: long non-coding RNA, 943 nt
Filed under: Fukomys damarensis (Damara mole-rat)
Lineage: Eukaryota; Metazoa; Chordata; Mammalia; Rodentia; Bathyergidae
Description: lncRNA (ENSFDAG00000024920.1)
Source: RNAcentral
CUGUGCUGGGAGGUCAGCAGCAGUGCCGGUGCUGGGACGCUUCCACCUCAGGAUUUCUGAAAGCUGGAGUCAAUGCUGUUCCCCUGACAUUGGGCUCCUAAUCUGUAGGAAAAAAUACCCGGAUUGCCAGAUACUGUUGAAAUUUUUAAAUUUCCUCAGAGGUUACACACUUCCUCUUCCAAUCACCCAGUUCCUUGGGGGAAACUUUCAGCCUGUGAUGAGAAGAGAAGGAUGCAGGCCUUGAAACCGUGAUCAAGGAGAUGAUGCCAGACUCCUUGGCAUCUGGCUUCCCACUUUGUUGCCUCUUCUGCCCAAGUUCGUCGUGCAUGUGUGCCGGAAUCAUCCAAGUGCUGCACACUGACCCUGGAAAACUUCAUCCUCAGGGCAGGUAACACACCAACUGACAUUAAUCGGCAAGCAGCCACCUGUAGCCCAACCUGCCCUUGGAGAGACAGCAUCGAAAUAAACUUACAGGAUUCAUAACCAGAGCUUCCUCCACACAGUUCUCUGUGCUGUUCUCCUGAAAAUCUACCACCUCCACAUUCUUCUCCCACCCUGGCCUGCAAGCCUGCAACUUUGGCUUAUAUUGCUUAUUAAGAACUGAUGAGAAUCUGAACACAGCAAAAAUUGAAUCCAGACACAAAAGAGAAUCUCUGCAAAUUUUUUCCCUGCCCUUUUUUAGACUAUUUCAUAAAUUCAUUUCUUAAAUAUAUUUCCUAAAUCAUUGAAAACAAUUAACAUUGUCCGAAAUACUUCAGAGUGAAUAAAACAUGAAGUAUUGAUACCAUGAUCUCGACAAGUUCUGUGUAUGACAGAAAAAGCCAAACACCAGGUAGCUUUAGCUCCAGUUAGCUCUUGAACUUCAAGUUUUAGUGCAUUUAUUUUUUUGUAAGCUCUGAUUGCCACCACCAAAGCUCCCACCUGGUUUCUGAAGAGCCAAAAC